GAUCAUGGCUCAGGACGAACGCUGGCGGCGCGCCUAACACAUGCAAGUCGAACGGAGUGUUUUCACGGAAGUUUUCGGAUGGAAGUGGUUACACUUAGUGGCGGACGGGUGAGUAACACGUGAGCAACCUGCCUUUCAGAGGGGGAUAACAGUUGGAAACGACUGCUAAUACCGCAUGAUAUUACCGGGUCACAUGGCCUGGCAAUCAAAGGAGCAAUCCGCUGAAAGAUGGGCUCGCGUCCGA
RNAcentral lists this ribosomal RNA (244 nucleotides) under uncultured bacterium. RNAcentral's name for it is "partial 16S ribosomal RNA". It matches the Rfam family "Bacterial small subunit ribosomal RNA", at positions 15 to 240 of the family's 1533-position model. The record is from RNAcentral.